Molecule: unclassified non-coding RNA, 145 nt
Filed under: soil metagenome
Description: partial internal transcribed spacer 1
Source: RNAcentral
UAAUAAGUGUUUUAUGGCACUUUUUAAAUCCAUAUCCACCUUGUGUGCAAUGUCAGUCGAUCUUCUUCAUGGAGAUCUACCAAACAUCAACCUUUAUCUUUUAACUCUUUGUCUUAAAAAUAUUAUGAAUAAACAAUUCAAAAUA